Long non-coding RNA from Gasterosteus aculeatus aculeatus (three-spined stickleback), 1712 nucleotides. The record is from Ensembl. NCBI's taxonomy places the organism in Eukaryota, Metazoa, Chordata, Actinopteri, Perciformes, Gasterosteidae.
CCCCGCCGCGCGCUCGCGGCGCACGCUGCUGCCGUCGUCAUCAGCUGAUACAGGAAGUAAUGAGUGGUCGUCCGGUGAACGGGGAGCGCAGGUGAAGCAGCCGAAGAAGGAGCCGAAUAAUGACAUGUGAGCUCCAACCGCCAGCGGGACCGUGAGCGGAACAUCUAACGCGGCCCGACGCGGUGUCCUUGAUCUGUUGCCUCUGAAGACCACCUCCCCUGAUGUCCUCCUCUCAUGGAGGCACAGAGGACAGAGUUUUCUUAUCAGAGGAAAGCCGCAGGUUUAUUUUUGAGAAGGUCAGGACAAGGUCAGGACCAGGUCUAGGUCGGGACCAGGUGGAGUAGGUCGGGGCAGGACAACUGCGAACACAAUCUGUGAAUCAUAGCUUCUCAGUGAAAAACUACCCAGAGAAUCACUCUGAAGUUACUGGACCAUUUGCCACGCUUUCUCACAACCACCAGGAUAAUGUCACCGUGGUCUUUCGGUGAUUUGUCAUUAUUUUAUUGAUAGAAGUUGAUUUUAUAUAGAAACCCUUUUGAGAUUUCCCUCUAGACCGUCGCGCAUUGAUGAAUUAUUAACUCGUGAAAGAAACACCUUCUGUUUCUUGACUGAAGCUCAGAACGUGUUGAACCGGUUAUUAACCAACUUUAUCGCGUCGUGAAGGUAAGCUGUGUGUUUUUAAAAUGAUCUCUGGCCUCAGUCCAGUUUUCAGAGCGCCGAUCGCCUCCGUUAUGCAGCACCACAGCAACCUUCUUCCUUUGAAAAGAUAACAGGAGUUCCGUCCCCUCAACUACCUCUCCCUCACCUCCCGGGGGCCUAUCAGGCCCCCCCUUGGGGUUGCAACGAUGAACGGAGCCCGCGGACGCAUUGUGUUGGCUUGCCCCUUUGGACUCGAGCGUAAUCCUCAGUCUAGUCAAAGUUCACGAGCGCUGCAGCAAUCGUUAGUCCGCCGGUUUGCUCUGCAAGUGAUCGGUGAGCAGCCGGCGCUCGGGAAGGCUCUAGUCGGAGGACGUUGACGGGGAUCCGAUGGCGCACAGUGAGCCCUCCGGCAGGAGGAGACGACGGGGUAAGCCCUCUGUUGGCCGCUUUUUUUUUUUCUUCUUCUUCGUCUUCUUCUUCUUCGUGGAUUUGGAGCAAAACAGCCCUUGAAGCCAUUGAGCAUCAGCCACUGGGUGGUGUAUCCCGGGCCGGCCUGAGGGUGCAGGGCCCAGAUGGUUCCGCCACAAUGGGCUGCUGUUUGGCUCCAGCACUGUUUUGGCCCCCCCCCCCUCUUAAUGAAAGAGUCUUUCAGCCUCCUUUUCGGAGAAAUGCAGCCACGUUCAGGCCGCAGGCGUGUGAAAGCUGCCGAGGCAGAUUCGACAGUUCCCUGGGGUUUGUUGGGUAGUAAAUGUUUGCUUCAUCAAUAAUCGGCACUAAGAAAUACAGUUUCUUGUGUUUUUAAAAGGAACUUUUGAGCUCUUUCCGCCUGCGCUGUCACAUCCUUCUGUUCAAAGCAUCUGCACCACUUCGCAACUUCUUCGCUUAUCUACGAUGCGUCAGCGAAAAUGAAUGAAGGUCCAUUAAAGGCAGAGUUGGUAAACUAUUUCAAAAACGGGGUUUGAUAUUUUGUUGACAUUCUCUGUUAACUUGACUAACACUACUAGCUUAACCUUUUGAAACCCAGGUGGCCUCUUAAAAGGGACUUUAGUUUAGUUCUGCUUACUCGGAAUUAA